RNAcentral lists this small RNA (44 nucleotides) under Propionibacterium australiense. RNAcentral describes it as "CRISPR_Spacer". Lineage: Bacteria; Bacillati; Actinomycetota; Actinomycetes; Propionibacteriales; Propionibacteriaceae. The record is from RNAcentral.
GAAUACGCCGCAGGUGACAGUGAUCCUGUCUUCCGUCAUGGCGU